This 253-nucleotide ribosomal RNA is filed under the name uncultured bacterium. RNAcentral describes it as "partial 16S ribosomal RNA". It matches the Rfam family "Bacterial small subunit ribosomal RNA", at positions 524 to 776 of the family's 1533-position model. The record is from RNAcentral.
UACGUAGGGAUCAAGCGUUGUUCGGAUUUACUGGGCGUAAAGGGCGCGUAGGCGGCUUGACAAGUCACUUGUGAAAUCUCCGGGCUUAACUCGGAACGGCCAAGUGAAACUGUCAUGCUAGAGUGCAGAAGGGGCAAUCGGAAUUCUUGGUGUAGCGGUGAAAUGCGUAGAUAUCAAGAGGAACACCGGUGGUGUAGACGGCUCACUGGACCGUAACUGACGCUGAGACACGAAAGCGUGGGUAGCAAACAGG